This is a non-coding RNA of Anas platyrhynchos (mallard), 957 nucleotides long. Lineage: Eukaryota; Metazoa; Chordata; Aves; Anseriformes; Anatidae. The record is from RefSeq and is a predicted model, not a curated record.
UGGAGGUGCCGUCUGCCUGGUGGCCCGGGCCCCCUCAAUGCCUCCCGCCUGCGGUGCGCCCAUCGUUGCCUGUUGGCCAUCUCACUGCUGCCUUGCUUGUGCAAAGCUGCGCUAAGUGGCUGUGCCACUGCAGCCUUACACAAUACUUGCACACUGCCGCUGGUCACACAGGCGGCAUGCAUACUCAAGGUGCUUCAUUCAGUACAAGAAGCUUGGAUGAACUGCUUUAAAUAUAACCGUUUAUUCUGGGUUUAGGAAAAGAGUUAACAAGUGAGCUUCAAAGUAAUCGUUGCCAUUCCUUGGAGAACAAGAUGCAUCACAAGAUGAGAAUGCUGUUCUCGUCCUGACAAUAAAACAUGAACAUUGUUCUAGAGAAGGUGAAAAUUAAUUGCAUUAACUCAUUAGAAUUGUAGGGAAAAGCAAUGGCAGGUACAGAAUUAAGAACAAAAUGUAGCAAUACGUGAAAAAUAUCCUGAUUUCAACUGUGAAAAGCAUUUGAAAUGACUGAAUGUGUGAAUCUAUAUAUAAAGACUAGAAGAGAAAUACAGAUAUGAUGCAUAUCAACUAACGUACUAUUUGCUCAAACUUCUGUAGAAAAAGAAGUCUGAAAACUCUAGACUAGUUUUCCCUUUGUUUUUUACCUUUAACAUACUGCAUGAAAAAUAUUUCUGAAAGGAAGCAAUUUUGUAUAAAAACUGUGGUGCCUCUAGGUUCAUGUAAUAAAUAAAUAAAAAUGAAAAAUACAAAAUCACAUUAAAGCCCGAGUUACUGUAAAGACCAAAAAAAAAGUUUUUUAAAGUUGGAGCGUAUAUUUCAGGUGCUCAAAACCACAGUUCUUUUGCAUCUACUGUGCUUUUCUUGUAAAGUUGACAUACAUUUAUCUGAUAAACUUGUUCCAUAUUUUUGAUGCCUGUUAUGCCUCACCUUUUCUUGUAUGAAUUUUAGAGUAAAUCUGUA